This 69-nucleotide transfer RNA is filed under the name Trachipterus trachypterus (ribbon fish). RNAcentral's name for it is "tRNA-Arg". It matches the Rfam family "tRNA". From Rfam's summary of the family: Transfer RNA (tRNA) molecules are approximately 80 nucleotides in length. Their secondary structure includes four short double-helical elements and three loops (D, anti-codon, and T loops). Further hydrogen bonds mediate the characteristic L-shaped molecular structure. tRNAs have two regions of fundamental functional importance: the anti-codon, which is responsible for specific mRNA codon recognition, and the 3' end, to which the tRNAs corresponding amino acid is attached (by aminoacyl-tRNA synthetases). tRNAs cope with the degeneracy of the genetic code in two manners: having more than one tRNA (with a specific anti-codon) for a particular amino acid; and 'wobble' base-pairing, i.e. permitting non-standard base-pairing at the 3rd anti-codon position. Lineage: Eukaryota; Metazoa; Chordata; Actinopteri; Lampriformes; Trachipteridae. The record is from RNAcentral.
AGGUGUUUAGUUUAGACAAAAUAUUUGAUUUCGGCUCAAAAGCCUAUGGUUAAACCCCAUAACCACCCG